CAGUCGAACGAAACUUCUUUAUCACCGAGUGCUUGCACUCACCGAUAAAGAGUUGAGUGGCGAACGGGUGAGUAACACGUGGGCAACCUGCCCAAAAGAGGGGGAUAACACUUGGAAACAGGUGCUAAUACCGCAUAACCAUAGUUACCGCAUGGUAACUAUGUAAAAGGUGGCUAUGCUACCGCUUUUGGAUGGGCCCGCGGCGCAUUAGCUAGUUGGUGGGGUAAAGGCUUACCAAGGCAAUGAUGCGUAGCCGAACUGAGAGGUUGAUCGGCCACAUUGGGACUGAGACACGGCCCAAACUCCUACGGGAGGCAGCAGUAGGGAAUCUUCCACAAUGGGCGAAAGCCUGAUGGAGCAACGCCGCGUGGGUGAAGAAGGUCUUCGGAUCGUAAAACCCUGUUGUUAGAGAAGAAAGUGCGUGAGAGUAACUGUUCACGUUUCGACGGUAUCUAACCAGAAAGCCACGGCUAACUACGUGCCAGCAGCCGCGGUAAUACGUAGGUGGCAAGCGUUAUCCGGAUUUAUUGGGCGUAAAGAGAACGCAGGCGGUCUUUUAAGUCUGAUGUGAAAGCCUUCGGCUUAACCGGAGUAGUGCAUUGGAAACUGGGAGACUUGAGUGCAGAAGAGGAGAGUGGAACUCCAUGUGUAGCGGUGAAAUGCGUAGAUAUAUGGAAGAACACCAGUGGCGAAAGCGGCUCUCUGGUCUGUAACUGACGCUGAGGUUCGAAAGCGUGGGUAGCAAACAGGAUUAGAUACCCUGGUAGUCCACGCCGUANACGAUGAAUGCUAAGUGUUGG
RNAcentral lists this ribosomal RNA (800 nucleotides) under uncultured bacterium. RNAcentral describes it as "bacterial SSU rRNA". It matches the Rfam family "Bacterial small subunit ribosomal RNA", at positions 59 to 826 of the family's 1533-position model. The record is from RNAcentral.